CUACAGGCUUAACACAUGCAAGUCGAGGGGCAUCAGGAAGAAAGCUUGCUUUCUUUGCUGGCGACCGGCGCACGGGUGAGUAACACGUAUCCAACCUGCCCUUUACUCGGGGAUAGCCUUUCGAAAGAAAGAUUAAUACCCGAUAGCAUAAUGAUUCCGCAUGGUUUCAUUAUUAAAGGAUUCCGGUAAAGGAUGGGGAUGCGUUCCAUUAGGUUGUUGGUGAGGUAACGGCUCACCAAGCCUUCGAUGGAUAGGGGUUCUGAGAGGAAGGUCCCCCACGUUGGAACUGAGACACGGUCCAAACUCCUACGGGAGGCAGCAGUGAGGAAUAUUGGUCAAUGGGCGCUAGCCUGAACCAGCCAAGUAGCGUGAAGGAUGAAGGCUCUAUGGGUCGUAAACUUCUUUUAUAUAAGAAUAAAGUGCAGUAUGUAUACUGUUUUGUAUGUAUUAUAUGAAUAAGGAUCGGCUAACUCCGUGCCAGCAGCCGCGGUAAUACGGAGGAUCCGAGCGUUAUCCGGAUUUAUUGGGUUUAAAGGGAGCGUAGGUGGACUGGUAAGUCAGUUGUGAAAGUUUGCGGCUCAACCGUAAAAUUGCAGUUGAUACUGUCAGUCUUGAGUACAGUAGAGGUGGGCGGAAUUCGUGGUGUAGCGGUGAAAUGCUUAGAUAUCACGAAGAACUCCGAUUGCGAAGGCAGCUCACUGGACUGCAACUGACACUGAUGCUCGAAAGUGUGGGUAUCAAACAGGAUUAGAUACCCUGGUAGUCCACACAGUAAACGAUGAAUACUCGCUGUUUGCGAUAUACAGUAAGCGGCCAAGCGAAAGCAUUAAGUAUUCCACCUGGGGAGUACGCCGGCAACGGUGAAACUCAAAGGAAUUGACGGGGGCCCGCACAAGCGGAGGAACAUGUGGUUUAAUUCGAUGAUACGCGAGGAACCUUACCCGGGCUUAAAUUGCAGUGGAAUGAUGUGGAAACAUGUCAGUGAGCAAUCACCGCUGUGAAGGUGCUGCAUGGUUGUCGUCAGCUCGUGCCGUGAGGUGUCGGCUUAAGUGCCAUAACGAGCGCAACCCUUAUCUUUAGUUACUAACAGGUUAUGCUGAGGACUCUGGAGAGACUGCCGUCGUAAGAUGUGAGGAAGGUGGGGAUGACGUCAAAUCAGCACGGCCCUUACGUCCGGGGCUACACACGUGUUACAAUGGGGGGUACAGAAGGCAGCUAGCGGGUGACCGUAUGCUAAUCCCAAAAGCCUCUCUCAGUUCGGAUCGAAGUCUGCAACCCGACUUCGUGAAGCUGGAUUCGCUAGUAAUCGCGCAUCAGCCACGGCGCGGUGAAUACGUUCCCGGGCCUUGUACACACCGCCCGUCAAGCCAUGGGAGCCGGGGGUACCUGAAGUACGUAACCGCAAGGAUCGUCCUAGGGUAAAACUGGUGACUGGGGCUAAGUCAU
This 1446-nucleotide ribosomal RNA is filed under the name uncultured organism. Its description in RNAcentral is "SSU rRNA". It matches the Rfam family "Bacterial small subunit ribosomal RNA". The record is from RNAcentral.